RNAcentral lists this long non-coding RNA (265 nucleotides) under Medicago truncatula (barrel medic). Its description in RNAcentral is "long non-coding RNA (MTRU_LNC006838)". Lineage: Eukaryota; Viridiplantae; Streptophyta; Magnoliopsida; Fabales; Fabaceae. The record is from RNAcentral.
AGAAAACACCCAUCUAGACCAAUUAAUGGUCUACAAGUAGUUGCAAAUGCCCUCUUGCAAGCGUAAAAGCACACAUAUAUUCUCUGGAAAACAGGACCAACAUCACUAUCUUUACACUUAAUCAAAACACUACUACCAGGAUUGCUCCUCAACAAUUCCUCAGCAUAGUUUCUCAGAUGCGCAUAUUGCUCAUCUAUGCCACCAUGGAUAAGUUCUAAAGCCUUCUUCUUAGCCCUAUAUAAUUGAUAGCUACUUAACAUCACCC